UGGGGAAUAUUGGACAAUGGGCGCAAGCCUGAUCCAGCCAUGCCGCGUGAGUGAUGAAGGCCUUAGGGUUGUAAAGCUCUUUCACCGGUGAAGAUAAUGACGGUAACCGGAGAAGAAGCCCCGGCUAACUUCGUGCCAGCAGCCGCGGUAAUACGAAGGGGGCUAGCGUUGUUCGGAUUUACUGGGCGUAAAGCGCACGUAGGCGGAUCGAUCAGUCAGGGGUGAAAUCCCAGGGCUCAACCCUGGAACUGCCUUUGAUACUGUCGAUCUGGAGUAUGGAAGAGGUGAGUGGAAUUCCGAGUGUAGAGGUGAAAUUCGUAGAUAUUCGGAGGAACACCAGUGGCGAAGGCGGCUCACUGGUCCAUUACUGACGCUGAGGUGCGAAAGCGUGGGGAGCAAACAGGAUUAGAUACC
This 414-nucleotide ribosomal RNA is filed under the name uncultured bacterium. Its description in RNAcentral is "bacterial SSU rRNA". It matches the Rfam family "Bacterial small subunit ribosomal RNA", at positions 355 to 786 of the family's 1533-position model. The record is from RNAcentral.